AGCGAACGCUGGCGGCAGGCCUAACACAUGCAAGUCGAACGAACUCUUCGGAGUUAGUGGCGGACGGGUGAGUAACACGUGGGAACGUGCCUUUAGGUUCGGAAUAACUCAGGGAAACUUGUGCUAAUACCGAAUGUGCCCUUCGGGGGAAAGGUUUAUCGCCUUUAGAGCGGCCCGCGUCUGAUUAGCUAGUUGGUGAGGUAAAGGCUCACCAAGGCGACGAUCAGUAGCUGGUCUGAGAGGAUGAUCAGCCACAUUGGGACUGAGACACGGCCCAAACUCCUGCGGGAGGCAGCAGUGGGGAAUCUUGCGCAAUGGGCGAAAGCCUGACGCAGCCAUGCCGCGUGAAUGAUGAAGGUCUUAGGAUUGUAAAAUUCUUUCACCGGGGACGAUAAUGACGGUACCCGGAGAAGGAGCCCCGGCUAACUUCGUGCCAGCCGCCGCGGUAA
RNAcentral lists this ribosomal RNA (449 nucleotides) under uncultured bacterium. Its description in RNAcentral is "partial 16S ribosomal RNA". It matches the Rfam family "Bacterial small subunit ribosomal RNA", at positions 29 to 523 of the family's 1533-position model. The record is from RNAcentral.